AUUGAACGCUGGCGGCAGGCCUAACACAUGCAAGUCGAGCGGAUGAAGGGAGCUUGCUCCUGGAUUCAGCGGCGGACGGGUGAGUAAUGCCUAGGAAUCUGCCUGGUAGUGGGGGAUAACGUCCGGAAACGGGCGCUAAUACCGCAUACGUCCUGAGGGAGAAAGUGGGGGAUCUUCGGACCUCACGCUAUCAGAUGAGCCUAGGUCGGAUUAGCUAGUUGGUGGGGUAAAGGCCUACCAAGGCGACGAUCCGUAACUGGUCUGAGAGGAUGAUCAGUCAAACUGGAAAUGAGAAAAGGUCCAGACCCCUACGGGAGGGAGCAGUGGGGAAUAUUGGACAAUGGGCGAAAGCCUGAUCCAGCCAUGCCGGGUGUGUGAAGAAGGUCUUCGGAUUGUAAAGCACUUUAAGUUGGGAGGAAGGGCAGUAAGUUAAUACCUUGCUGUUUUGACGUUACCAAAAGAAUAAGCACCGGCUAACUUCGUG
Molecule: ribosomal RNA, 484 nt
Filed under: uncultured bacterium
Lineage: Bacteria
Description: partial 16S ribosomal RNA
Rfam family: Bacterial small subunit ribosomal RNA
Source: RNAcentral